GGAGAGGUGGCAGAGUGGUCGAAUGCACCGCACUCGAAAUGCGGCUUACCUGCAAGGGCAUCGUGGGUUAUCCCGCCCUCGCCU
This 84-nucleotide transfer RNA is filed under the name Agrobacterium tumefaciens. RNAcentral describes it as "tRNA-Ser". It matches the Rfam family "tRNA". From Rfam's summary of the family: Transfer RNA (tRNA) molecules are approximately 80 nucleotides in length. Their secondary structure includes four short double-helical elements and three loops (D, anti-codon, and T loops). Lineage: Bacteria; Pseudomonadati; Pseudomonadota; Alphaproteobacteria; Hyphomicrobiales; Rhizobiaceae. The record is from RNAcentral. RNAcentral also lists the same sequence under 1 other name.